ACACAUCAUUCUUAGACUUGAAUGAACUUCUUGUUUGUUUUCUUAGUUGACAGGCCCUACAUACUCUGUCUCUUUAGUUCAUCUUAGGUAUUCUUUUAACUAGUUCCUUGUUAAUCAAUUUGGAGAUUAAGUCUAUACUUGCAUGUCCUAACUUACGAUGCCAUGACUAACUAGUUUCAUUGUCUUUUGCAUUUGUGACUACUAGACAUUGACUACUUUUUACAAAUUCAUCUAAGUUUAUCAUAUAAACAUUACCAUGCAUGUGUCCUGCAAAAAUAGUGUCAUUAUUUGUUGAAUUAGCUAUGGUGCACAGUGAGGCUUCAAAAGUGACUUUGAAACCUUUAUCACACAAUUGACUAAUACUAAUUAGAUUCUGCUUCAAUCCAUCUACAUAUAAAAUAUUAUCUAUAAAUAUAGAAGGAGAGAUCUGAAUUUUACCAAUACCAAUGAUUUGACCUUGGCCAUUGUCACCGAAGGUUACAACUCCUCCUUCUUUUGACUCGAGGGUGAUGAAUUGAUCCUUGUCCCCGGUCA
Molecule: long non-coding RNA, 534 nt
Filed under: Phoenix dactylifera (date palm)
Lineage: Eukaryota; Viridiplantae; Streptophyta; Magnoliopsida; Arecales; Arecaceae
Description: long non-coding RNA (PDAC_LNC008409)
Source: RNAcentral